RNAcentral lists this ribosomal RNA (609 nucleotides) under uncultured bacterium. Its description in RNAcentral is "bacterial SSU rRNA". The stretch from base 1 to 523 matches the Rfam family "Bacterial small subunit ribosomal RNA", at positions 338 to 873 of the family's 1533-position model. The record is from RNAcentral.
CCUACGGGAGGCAGCAGUUGGGAAUUUUGCACAAUGGACGAAAGUCUGAUGCAGCAACGCCGCGUGCGGGAUGAAGAUUUUCGGAUUGUAAACCGCUUUUAUUUGGGAGUAACUGUUUGAACGUACCAAAUGAAUAAGCACCGGCUAACUCCGUGCCAGCAGCCGCGGUAAUACGGAGGGUGCAAACGUUGUCCGGAAUUACUGGGCGUAAAGCGCAUGUAGGUGGUCUAAUAAGUGAACGAUUAAAUACCGACGCCUAACGUCGGAAAGGUUAUUCAUACUGUUAGACUCGAGGAAGACAGGGGCAGAUGGAACUUUAAGUGUAGGAGUGAUAUCCGUAGAUAUUUAAAGGAACACCAAUGGCGAAGGCAGUCUGCUGGGUCUUUCUGACACUGAGAUGCGAAAGUGUGGGGAGCAAACGGGAUUAGAUACCCCGGUAGUCCACACCGUAAACGAUGCUCACUAGGUCUUGGAGGGUAUCGACCCCCUUUUGGACCGAAGCUAACGCGUUAAGUGAGCCGCCUGGGGGAGGUACGACGACGAACGUUAAACUAACUAAGUAAGUAGUAGACGCGAGAGACGACGACGACGACGACGACGGAGGAGGAG